Magallana angulata is the source of this 919-nucleotide long non-coding RNA. RefSeq lists it as uncharacterized. The transcript has 4 exons. Lineage: Eukaryota; Metazoa; Mollusca; Bivalvia; Ostreida; Ostreidae. The record is from RefSeq and is a predicted model, not a curated record.
GGUUAUCGGAAAGCCUUGGUGUUUUUCAUCAUUUAGUUUAAAUCAACGCAUUUGAGUGGUGUCCACUGCACCGUGUUGUUUCUCGACAGAUUAAUUGUUUGAAAAUGUCUGGCAGAGAAGGUGGAAAAAAGAAACCUCUGAAAAACCCAAAGAAACAAUCAAAAGAUCUAGAUGAUGACGAAAUGGCAUUCAAACAAAAACAGAGGGAGGAGCAAAAAGCAAUGAAAGAAAUGCAGGCCAAGGCAUCAGGAAAAGGCCCUCUAACAACAGGAGGUAUUAAAAAGUCUGGGAAGAAAUGACAGGACACAGAACAUACGAACCUAAAGAUCCUCCACAGUAACUCGCAACAUUCUCUUUGUCUGGUGCUGGUGAAAUGAUUGGUGAAACAAAACUUUUUAUAAUGUUUAUGGUAUUUCUAUGAGACAUAAAAUUUCAUUAUGUGCAGCUGUUCUUAGAGUUGGCCAUUGAAAUUACUCUGAAUUUGGAUUUUAUUCACAUUUAUUUUCCAAUUUUAAUAUAUGUUUAAAAUUUAAACAAUUGUGAGGAUGAUGAAAGGUUUGUCUUUGAAUAGAACAUUUUUUUGUAAGAAUUGAUAUUUCCAUUGUCUCUUUUGUACAAAUGUUGUUAAGAAAAUUAUUUCUAUAAUGUAAGAUCCAUUUAAUAAGUUGUAAUUAUGAAAAUUAAGUGACAUUGACAGGUUGUUCAUUUUUAGAUGUUUACUUGUGUCUCAGGCUCUUUAAGUAAAUAAUUUUUUCAAAAUAUGUACAUACAUUGUCAAUUUUUUUUAAAAAAUAUUUUUUGGUGCAAUUUAGAGAUUCUUAUGUGUUCAUUGGAAAUUGUUGCCUUGUAAAUGUUUUCCUCUGAGUCAAACAAUGUAUUAAACCUUGGCAUUUUUUUUUAAAUAAAGAGACAAAACAUA